This 832-nucleotide ribosomal RNA is filed under the name Mammaliicoccus sciuri. RNAcentral describes it as "bacterial SSU rRNA". It matches the Rfam family "Bacterial small subunit ribosomal RNA", at positions 56 to 868 of the family's 1533-position model. Lineage: Bacteria; Bacillati; Bacillota; Bacilli; Caryophanales; Staphylococcaceae. The record is from RNAcentral.
UGCAGUCGAGCGAACAGAUGAGAAGCUUGCUUCUCUGAUGUUAGCGGCGGACGGGUGAGUAACACGUGGGUAACCUACCUAUAAGACUGGGAUAACUCCGGGAAACCGGGGCUAAUACCGGAUAAUAUUUUGAACCGCAUGGUUCAAUAGUGAAAGACGGUUUCGGCUGUCACUUAUAGAUGGACCCGCGCCGUAUUAGCUAGUUGGUAAGGUAACGGCUUACCAAGGCGACGAUACGUAGCCGACCUGAGAGGGUGAUCGGCCACACUGGAACUGAGACACGGUCCAGACUCCUACGGGAGGCAGCAGUAGGGAAUCUUCCGCAAUGGGCGAAAGCCUGACGGAGCAACGCCGCGUGAGUGAUGAAGGUCUUCGGAUCGUAAAACUCUGUUGUUAGGGAAGAACAAAUUUGUUAGUAACUGAACAAGUCUUGACGGUACCUAACCAGAAAGCCACGGCUAACUACGUGCCAGCAGCCGCGGUAAUACGUAGGUGGCAAGCGUUAUCCGGAAUUAUUGGGCGUAAAGCGCGCGUAGGCGGUUUCUUAAGUCUGAUGUGAAAGCCCACGGCUCAACCGUGGAGGGUCAUUGGAAACUGGGAAACUUGAGUGCAGAAGAGGAGAGUGGAAUUCCAUGUGUAGCGGUGAAAUGCGCAGAGAUAUGGAGGAACACCAGUGGCGAAGGCGGCUCUCUGGUCUGUAACUGACGCUGAUGUGCGAAAGCGUGGGGAUCAAACAGGAUUAGAUACCCUGGUAGUCCACGCCGUAAACGAUGAGUGCUAAGUGUUAGGGGGGUUUCCGCCCCUUAGUGCUGCAGCUAACGCAUUAAGCACU